CUUGCAUCAGAUGACGAGUGGCGCACGGGUGAGUAACGCGUAUACAAUCUACCUUUUACAGGGGGAUAGCCUUUAGAAAUGAAGAUUAAUAUCCCAUAGUAUGUUAACUUGGCAUCAAGAUAACAUUAAAGUUUCGGCGGUAAAAGAUGAGUAUGCGUUCUAUUAGUUAGUUGGUAAGGUAACGGCUUACCAAGACCGCGAUAGAUAGGGGCCCUGAGAGGGGGAUCCCCCACACUGGUACUGAGACACGGACCAGACUCCUACGGGAGGCAGCAGUGAGGAAUAUUGGACAAUGGGCGCGAGCCUGAUCCAGCCAUGCCGCGUGCAGGAAGACUGCCCUAUGGGUUGUAAACUGCUUUUAUACAGGAAGAAACCUUUUCACGUGUGAAAAGCUGACGGUACUGUAAGAAUAAGGAUCGGCUAACUCCGUGCCAGCAGCCGCGGUAAUACGGAGGAUCCAAGCGUUAUCCGGAAUCAUUGGGUUUAAAGGGUCCGUAGGUGGAUAAUUAAGUCAGGGGUGAAAGUUUGCAGCUCAACUGUAAAAUUGCCUUUGAUACUGGUUAUCUUGAAUUAUUGUGAAGUGGUUAGAAUAUGUAGUGUAGCGGUGAAAUGCAUAGAUAUUACAUAGAAUACCAAUUGCGAAGGCAGAUCACUAACAAUAUAUUGACACUGAUGGACGAAAGCGUGGGGAGCGAACAGGAUUAGAUACCCUGGUAGUCCACGCCGUAAACGAUGGAUACUAGCUGUUCGGUUUUCGGACUGAGUGGCUAAGCGAAAG
RNAcentral lists this ribosomal RNA (778 nucleotides) under Winogradskyella sp. RNAcentral's name for it is "bacterial SSU rRNA". It matches the Rfam family "Bacterial small subunit ribosomal RNA", at positions 79 to 857 of the family's 1533-position model. Lineage: Bacteria; Pseudomonadati; Bacteroidota; Flavobacteriia; Flavobacteriales; Flavobacteriaceae. The record is from RNAcentral.